This 470-nucleotide ribosomal RNA is filed under the name uncultured bacterium. Its description in RNAcentral is "SSU rRNA". It matches the Rfam family "Bacterial small subunit ribosomal RNA", at positions 26 to 518 of the family's 1533-position model. The record is from RNAcentral.
AGGAUAAACGCUGGCGGCGUGCCUAACACAUGCAAGUCGAACGCGCUUUUUUCGCAAGAGGAGAGCGAGUGGCGGACGGGUGAGUAACACAUGGGUACCUACCUUGGAGUGAGGGAUACCGGCGAGAAAUCGCCGACAAUACCGCAUACGCUUCUCUUCACCGGGAAGCAAAGUUGCGCAAGCGACGCUCUGAGAUGGGCCUGUGGCCGAUUAGCUAGUUGGUGGGGUAACGGCCUACCAAGGCGACGAUCGGUAGCUGGUCUGAGAGGACGAUCAGCCACACUGGGAUUGAGAACGGCCCAGACUCCUACGGGGGGCAGCAGUGAGGAAUUUUCCGCAAUGGACGCAAGUCUGACGGAGCAACGCCGCGUGCAGGAUGAAGGUUUUCGGAUCGUAAACUGCUUUUCUCGGGGACGAGCAAGGACGGUACCCGAGGAAGAAGCCCCGGCUAACUACGCGCCAGCAGCCGC